GAAGUCUCGUAACCGUAAGAUUUUUCUAAUUCUAUUCUGUUUUAGUUAUCUCAAUAAGUUAAAUUUAAAAUAUGCCGAACUGUAUUUCUGCUAGAUUAUUCUUAAUCUUAAUAGAUUUAUAUUUCUAAUUAUAAAUAUACAAUUUCUUACAUUAAUUUGGUGUGGCGGAUGAGGAGAAAUAUAAGUGUAUUUAAUUAUUAGGACUUGAAUUUUGUGAAAGAGAUAUACUAUAUAUACCAUUUUGAUUUUAAUGAAAAUCUUCAUUGUGUCUUCAUCCGUGAAUGUAAGCCAAUAGCUAAACCACGUAAAUAUUUUUGUGCUUUAUUUUUUUUUUAUCUCUUUCUUGAUUCUUUUUGGUAUUUUCACGCCUGACGAACUAAAUCUUUUCUGUUUUUAUUAUCUGGUAUUAGUAUAAAUGGUGGAUUUUUUACAAUUUUUUUGGG
RNAcentral lists this long non-coding RNA (443 nucleotides) under Ananas comosus (pineapple). Its description in RNAcentral is "long non-coding RNA (ACOM_LNC010639)". The record is from RNAcentral. Lineage: Eukaryota; Viridiplantae; Streptophyta; Magnoliopsida; Poales; Bromeliaceae.